AUUGAACGCUGGCGGCAGGCCUAACACAUGCAAGUCGAGCGGUAGAGAGGUGCUUGCAUCUCUUGAGAGCGGCGGACGGGUGAGUAAUGCCUAGGAAUCUGCCUAGUGGUGGGGGAUAACGUUCGGAAACGGACGCUAAUACCGCAUACGUCCUACGGGAGAAAGCGGGGGAUCUUCGGACCUCGCGCCAUUAGAUGAGCCUAGGUCGGAUUAGCUAGUUGGUGAGGUAAUGGCUCACCAAGGCGACGAUCCGUAACUGGUCUGAGAGGAUGAUCAGUCACACUGGAACUGAGACACGGUCCAGACUCCUACGGGAGGCAGCAGUGGGAAUAUUGGACAAUGGGCGAAAGCCUGAUCCAGCCAUGCCGCGUGUGUGAAGAAGGUCUUCGGAUUGUAAAGCACUUUAAGUUGGGAGGAAGGGUAGUAACCUAAUACGUUUGCGUACUUUGACGUUACCGACAGAAUAAGCACCGGCUAACUUCGU
Molecule: ribosomal RNA, 484 nt
Filed under: uncultured bacterium
Lineage: Bacteria
Description: bacterial SSU rRNA
Rfam family: Bacterial small subunit ribosomal RNA
Source: RNAcentral